AAUUCCGGGAAUUGACAAUUUUGAGCUCGGAAUUCAAACUGGGUUGGGGCCUAUAAAUACCCCACCCUUUCAGCAAUGACAGAGUAACCAAAAACCACUGAAAACCUGAUCUUACUCUAUGAUUUUUAGAGCUCAAAAGUGUUGUAUGAGUUAGAAGUUCUCCUCCCUCUUUUCUUCCAAGUUCUGAUCUUUCAAGAGAGGAGAGAAAAUUCUGUAAGGGU
RNAcentral lists this long non-coding RNA (221 nucleotides) under Musa acuminata (dwarf banana). RNAcentral describes it as "long non-coding RNA (MACU_LNC011845)". Lineage: Eukaryota; Viridiplantae; Streptophyta; Magnoliopsida; Zingiberales; Musaceae. The record is from RNAcentral.